Long non-coding RNA from Lycium barbarum (goji berry), 973 nucleotides. RefSeq lists it as uncharacterized. NCBI's taxonomy places the organism in Eukaryota, Viridiplantae, Streptophyta, Magnoliopsida, Solanales, Solanaceae. The transcript has 3 exons. The record is from RefSeq and is a predicted model, not a curated record.
CAAUAAUCUUAAGCCUAAAUCUCACCUUUUGUGGUCUAAAUCAACUUGGUUAAAAAAAUACUGAUUUCUGAAUUUGGGCUUAGACUGAGGUUAUAUCUUCCACCUCUGCAUUGAUGUAAUAUAACUUCCCAUUUGUCAUCUACUGUGUACGUUGAUGCCUGGACCCACGAUAAUACUGAAGAGCUGCAAAUGGUACCAAAAGACAUGGCUAGGGCCUUGAUCCUUCUCUGUCCCCAUUGAAGUUGGAUCCAAUGUCUGCCUAAGCCCAAUGUUGAGGUAUUAGUAAGGAGCACUUCCUGACUUGAUCUUUAUUUGAAGAAGAAAGUAAGAAAACCUAACACUGGUUGUUGGCCUCCACAUUCACAGUAGCAUAGGUGUAUUAGUUGCGAUCGUAGACUGAAUUUUCAAACAGCACUGAAGUUAUAUUUCUAAUUGAACAUUUCUUUGGGGUUAGACAAGAAAUUGACUCAGAAGAAAAGUUUCCAGAUGAUUUAUUUAACCAACUGGUCAACAGGGAUGAAGAACGACAUGAGACGAUUGAACAGGAGCAUCAUCCAGGAAGGAUCAAACCAUGUGAUGCAUGUCUAUUUUGCUUCUUUGUGAUAUACUUGUUGUCCAAGUUUUCACUUAGAUUAGGGCAAUCCUAUCUUUCUGUGCCGUUUUGCUGUUUUCUGGUGCAAGUUUGAUGAAGAUGAGAGAAACACACAAAAGUCAUCAUACAAAUGCUAAGCAGUGGUUGCUUUUUAGGUAUUGGGGGCGGCAAGGAUGCAACUGUAGAAACUCCGAAUAUGUUGCUAUGUAAAGUUUCCUAAUCUGUAGAAGCACUGAGGGUUGCAAUUUGUUUAUCCUUUUCUUUGUAAUACCUGCUAUAUGACAAUGAUUAUUUGUGUGUUUAUCUAAGAAAAAAGUGAUCAUUGUGUGAUGGAGGAUGCUCAAUAUUUCAAUUUCCUAGCACAGGAGCCUGUUUUGCAGG